CCUAAACCAUAAGAGCUUGCUGGAUAGGAGGUUGAUUGGUAGGUUUCAACCUCAUUUAAUUUCUAUUACUUUAGUCAACAGGUGUAUCUUCUGGGAAAAUCUAGUUGACACAAAUGCUGAAAUCAUUUAGCCUGUCACUAAGUAACUUUCUUGCCAUCUGACAGACAUGGGUGGGUCGAUAUUAUAGAGGACUCACACCCAUCCCACAAAUCAACUUUCCAGAGAAAGGG
Molecule: long non-coding RNA, 230 nt
Organism: Telopea speciosissima
Lineage: Eukaryota; Viridiplantae; Streptophyta; Magnoliopsida; Proteales; Proteaceae
Exons: 2
Source: RefSeq, a predicted model, not a curated record